CCUACGGGAGGCAGCAGUGAGGAAUAUUGGUCAAUGGACGAGAGUCUGAACCAGCCAAGUCGCGUGAAGGAUGACUGCCCUAUGGGUUGUAAACUUCUUUUAUAAAGGAAUAAAACGAGGCACGUGUGCCUUUUUGCAUGUACUUUAUGAAUAAGGAACGGCUAACUCCGUGCCAGCAGCCGCGGUAAUACGGAGGCUCCGAGCGUUAUCCGGAUUUAUUGGGGUUAAAGGGAGCGUAGAUGGGUUGUUAAGUCAGUUGUGAAAGUUUGCGGCUCAACCGUAAAAUUGCAAUUGAUACUGGCAGUCUUGAGUAGAGUAGAGGUAGGCGGAAUUCGUGGUGUAGCGGUGAAAUGCGUAGAUAUCACGAAGAACCCCGAUUGCGAAGGCAGCUUACUAGACUGUAACUGACAUUGAUGCGCGAAAGUGUGGGUAGCAAACAGGAUUAGAUACCCUUGUAGUC
This 460-nucleotide ribosomal RNA is filed under the name uncultured bacterium. RNAcentral describes it as "partial 16S ribosomal RNA". It matches the Rfam family "Bacterial small subunit ribosomal RNA", at positions 338 to 795 of the family's 1533-position model. The record is from RNAcentral.